CCUACGGGUGGCAGCAGUGGGGAAUAGUGGGCAAUGGAGGCAACUCUGACCCAGCAACGCCGCGGGAAGGAUGAAGGUCUUAGGAGGGUAAAGUUCGUUUCUAAGGGAAGAAGAAAGUGACGGUACCGUAGGAAUAAGCCUCGGCUAACUACGGGCCAGCAGCCGCGGUAAUACGUAGGAGGAAAGCGUUAACCGGAAGGACGGGGCGUAAAGGGUGCGUAGGUGGUUUGACAAGGUGGUAGCGUAACUCCGGAGCUCAACUUCGGAACUACUACCAAAACUGUUGGACUCGAGUGCAGGAGAGGCAACUGGAAUUUCUCGUGUAUCGGUGUAAUGCGUAGAUAUUAGGAAGAACACCGGUGGCGAAGGCGCGUUGCUGGACUGUAACUGACACUGAGGCACGAAAGCGUGGGGAGCAAACAGGAUUAGCUACCCUAGUAGUC
This 443-nucleotide ribosomal RNA is filed under the name uncultured bacterium. RNAcentral describes it as "partial 16S ribosomal RNA". It matches the Rfam family "Bacterial small subunit ribosomal RNA", at positions 338 to 795 of the family's 1533-position model. The record is from RNAcentral.